GUGUUCACAGUAUAACAUAUAGCUUACAAUUACUUCAUGCUUUAGGGCAGUACAUUUGAGAAAAAAAUUGUUAAAAUUUCCCCUGCUCAUAUAUCUCUUAAUAAGGAUACAUAUUGUACACUCGGAAUAUCUCAGCAAUAAAAAUUACUGUAUAAGAUCUAGAUCUAUCAUUAUUCUUAUACAUUUCACACCUUUACCAGACUUGCUUGUACCACAUGUCUAAAUUUAGUAAUCAAAUAAGAAAAUCAACUAAUUUGUCAUCCAACAUAGUGGUCCAGGGAUGUAACUCAACUAAAAUGAUAUCAAUUGAAAUCUAUCCUAUGACUAUUGCCCUUGGAUAAUUUUUGUAAAGGAAUCAUCUCAAAGUUUAAAUGUGAGGUUAAGUUUGAGAUGACCCCCUGCAGAUAUUUAAAUGAAAUGUAUUGCUAAAUGUUGAUGACAUUUUUACUGCGAAUUUAGAAAAAAGUGCCGAAAGUGUAAAAUUUUACAUACAAUGUUAAAUUGGUCCUAAAG
Molecule: long non-coding RNA, 513 nt
Filed under: Mytilus galloprovincialis (Mediterranean mussel)
Lineage: Eukaryota; Metazoa; Mollusca; Bivalvia; Mytilida; Mytilidae
Source: RNAcentral